RNAcentral lists this ribosomal RNA (724 nucleotides) under uncultured beta proteobacterium. Its description in RNAcentral is "bacterial SSU rRNA". It matches the Rfam family "Bacterial small subunit ribosomal RNA", at positions 55 to 776 of the family's 1533-position model. The record is from RNAcentral. Lineage: Bacteria; Pseudomonadati; Pseudomonadota; Betaproteobacteria.
AUGCAAGUCGAACGGUAACAGGUCUUCGGAUGCUGACGAGUGGCGAACGGGUGAGUAAUACAUCGGAACGUGCCCGAUCGUGGGGGAUAACGAAGCGAAAGCUUUGCUAAUACCGCAUACGAUCUACGGAUGAAAGCAGGGGACCGCAAGGCCUUGCGCGAACGGAGCGGCCGAUGGCAGAUUAGGUAGUUGGUGGGAUAAAAGCUUACCAAGCCGACGAUCUGUAGCUGGUCUGAGAGGACGACCAGCCACACUGGGACUGAGACACGGCCCAGACUCCUACGGGAGGCAGCAGUGGGGAAUUUUGGACAAUGGGCGAAAGCCUGAUCCAGCCAUGCCGCGUGCAGGAUGAAGGCCUUCGGGUUGUAAACUGCUUUUGUACGGAACGAAAAGACUCUGGUUAAUACCUGGGGUCCAUGACGGUACCGUAAGAAUAAGCACCGGCUAACUACGUGCCAGCAGCCGCGGUAAUACGUAGGGUGCAAGCGUUAAUCGGAAUUACUGGGCGUAAAGCGUGCGCAGGCGGUUAUAUAAGACAGAUGUGAAAUCCCCGGGCUCAACCUGGGAACUGCAUUUGUGACUGUAUAGCUAGAGUACGGCAGAGGGGGAUGGAAUUCCGCGUGUAGCAGUGAAAUGCGUAGAUAUGCGGAGGAACACCGAUGGCGAAGGCAAUCCCCUGGGCCUGUACUGACGCUCAUGCACGAAAGCGUGGGGAGCAAACAGG